GACGAACGCUGGCGGCGUGCUUAACACAUGCAAGUCGAACGGAAAGGCCUUUUCGGAGGUACUCGAGUGGCGAACGGGUGAGUAACACGUGGGUGAUCUGCCCUGCACUCUGGGAUAAGCCUGGGAAACUGGGUCUAAUACCGGAUAGGACCGCACUUUAGUGUGUGUGGUGGAAAGUUUUUUCGGUGUAGGAUGAGCCCGCGGCCUAUCAGCUUGUUGGUGGGGUAAUGGCCUACCAAGGCGGCGACGGGUAGCCGGACUGAGAGGUUGGUCGGCCACAUUGGGACUGAGAUACGGCCCAGACUCCUGCGGGGGGCAGCAGUGGGGAAUAUUGCACAAUGGGCGCAAGCCUGAUGCAGCGACGCCGCGUGGGGGAUGACGGCCUUCGGGUUGUAAACUCCUUUCGCCAGGGACGAAGCGUUUUGUGACGGUACCUGGAGAAGAAGCACCGGCUAACUACGUG
Molecule: ribosomal RNA, 463 nt
Filed under: uncultured bacterium
Lineage: Bacteria
Description: partial 16S ribosomal RNA
Rfam family: Bacterial small subunit ribosomal RNA
Source: RNAcentral